This 253-nucleotide ribosomal RNA is filed under the name uncultured bacterium. RNAcentral describes it as "partial 16S ribosomal RNA". It matches the Rfam family "Bacterial small subunit ribosomal RNA", at positions 524 to 776 of the family's 1533-position model. The record is from RNAcentral.
UACGUAGGGGGCAAGCGUUGUUCGGAAUUACUGGGCGUAAAGGGCGCGUAGGCGGCAUGGCAAGUCGGGAGUGAAAGCCCGGGGCUCAACCCCGGAGGGUCUCUCGAAACUGCCGAGCUAGAGUGCGGAAGAGGCAAUCGGAAUUCCCAGUGUAGCGGUGAAAUGCGUAGAUAUUGGGAAGAACACCGGAGGCGAAGGCGGAUUGCUGAGCCGACACUGACGCUGAGGCGCGAAAGCCAGGGGAGCAAACGGG